This 426-nucleotide ribosomal RNA is filed under the name uncultured bacterium. Its description in RNAcentral is "partial 16S ribosomal RNA". It matches the Rfam family "Bacterial small subunit ribosomal RNA", at positions 354 to 796 of the family's 1533-position model. The record is from RNAcentral.
GUGAGGAAUUUUCCGCAAUGGGCGAUAGCCUGACGGAGCAAUGCCGCGUGAAGGAUGAAGGCCUAUGGGUUGUAAACUUCUUUUCUUAGAGAAGAAUAUUGACGGUAUCUGAGGAAUAAGCAUAGGCUAACUCUGUGCCAGCAGCCGCGGUAAGACAGAGGAUGCAAGCGUUAUCCGGAAUGAUUGGGCGUAAAGCGUGCGUAGGCGGUUUUGUAAGUUAGGAGUGAAAGCCCAGGUCUCAACCUUGGAAUUGCUAUUAAAACUGCAAAGCUCGAAUCUCGGGGAGAAUAGCGGAAUUUCCAGUGUAGCAGUGAAAUGCGUAGAUAUUGGAAGGAACACCAGUGGCGUAAGCGGCUAUAUGGACGAGUAUUGACGCUGAGGCACGAAAGCGUGGGGAUCAAACAGGAUUAGAUACCCGUGUAGUCC